GCGGGUGUAGCUCAGUGGUAGAGCGCCACGUUGCCAACGUGAAGGUCGUGAGUUCAAGCCUCAUCACCCGCU
This is a non-coding RNA of Chlamydia psittaci 84-8471/1, 72 nucleotides long. The record is from Rfam. NCBI's taxonomy places the organism in Bacteria, Pseudomonadati, Chlamydiota, Chlamydiia, Chlamydiales, Chlamydiaceae.